RNAcentral lists this long non-coding RNA (1797 nucleotides) under Canis lupus familiaris (dog). RNAcentral describes it as "lncRNA (ENSCAFG00000058468.1)". Lineage: Eukaryota; Metazoa; Chordata; Mammalia; Carnivora; Canidae. The record is from RNAcentral.
UUCUGGCUUCACAAAAUGAGCCAGCUAGCUAUCAAACAUUUCAUUUAAGUAUAAUUACUCUUAGGACUUGAUAAUGUCUAGCACUGUCUGAUAGGUAGAAUAUGAUGAAUGACUUGAUUUCUUUAUUUUUAUUUAUUUAUGAUAGAGAGAGAGAGAGAGAGAGAGAGGAGGCAGAAACACAGGCAGAGGGAGAAGCAGGCUCCAUGCACCGGGAGCCCGACGUGGGAUUCGAUCCCGGGUCUCCAGGAUCGCGCCCCGGGCCAAAGGCAGGCGCCAAACCGCUGCGCCACCCAGGGGUCCCGAGUUGAUUUCUUUAAUGUUAUGGUUAUCUUUAGGUUUCUAAAAAAUUCUUCCCAACUAUUUUUGUAGUUAAUAUUUUUCAAUAAAAUGUUGCUGUCUACAUUUUCAGGUUAAUUGGUAUAUCAGUUUAUUAUUGCUGCUGCAACCAACUCCUACAAACUCAGUGACUUAAAGCAAGCCAAAUUCAUUGUUUUAUAGUUCUGGAGGUCAGAAGUCUAAAAUGAACAGGCAGGGACUUUUUCAGCUUCCAGAGAUUGCUGCAUUACUUGGCUCACUGACUCACUGUGAUGGAAAGGAAGCCUGCCCCUGAACCUGCCCUCAAGUCCUACCUCCAACUGGACCUCCUAGAAGGCACCCUGUGAGAGCUGUCUCGGGUGGAGGGCUUGCUGGAGACCUCUCAGGGAGUAAGGGGGAGCCUUGCCCCCUAGCAUGGCGGCCUUGCUUCUCCUCAGACUGGAGACCGGUGUCCAGAAGGUACUCGAGAGGAGCCCCAGGACAGCUGCCACCCAGACUCCAUAGCCAGUAAAUGCUGCCUCUGCUCUGCAAAAAUAAAGGUAUCUCUGCCACCUGGAAAAAAAAACAAAAACAAAAACAAAAACAAAAACAAAAAGAAAACAAACAAAAAACCCUCACUCUGACCCUGUAACCUCCCUCUUGUAAGGACCGUUGUGAUCUCAGUGGACCCACCUGAAUAAUAAUAAUUCAUGAUACUCUUCCCCUCUCAAGAUCUUUAACCGAAUCGCAUCUGCAAAGUCCCUUUUGCCGAGUCAGAUAACAUCUUCACGUGUAUUGGGAAUUAGGCCGUGGGCCUCUUCUGGAGGGCCAUUACUCUGUACCUGUCAUACUCGGCGUCAUGGUUUUCAUUGUAUUUUCUCCUGUUUUUCUAGAUGUUGCCCUUUUUCACUUCAAAACGCAUUCAUUUCUCCCUCUAUCACUUUCUUUUAAUCAAUCCGCCUGUUUUAUAUUAUAGCCGCCGGUCUCACGAACUACGCCCCGAGGAGCCGUGGCAGGAGCGCGAGGUCUGGUGCGAAGGCCGCACCUGCACGGCGGGCCGCGCUGUCCCCGUCCGCCCACCUGUCAUUCCCACGAGUCCGUCAAACAGAGCUGCUUCCCCAGCAACCCCCGUGGGCCUGCUUCCCCAGUCGGCGUCACAGGUCCCGGCGCCCCCGAACACGUUCGCUGCGCGUCCCACUCUCGGAACUGCUUUCUCUGCGAUGGAAACAUCCGAGCCUCCUCCUCCUCUCGAGGCCCAGCUCCUGGAAGUCCCGAGGGAGGUGAGCUGCUCACCUUCCUCCUCCCCGGGGCCCGGGAGCCGCCGCGCUGGUUCCGACGUCUGGGGAACCGACGGGGCGCGCCCGGCUCCCGCCCGCGCCUCCGCCCGUGGGGCCUCUCCGCUCCCGGCUCCCACGAGUCAGGUCAAGGCCGCUACAAAGGGCUUGAAUGAAACGCGUGUGCGUUUCGCGAGUCGUCAACCGCCAGGGGACCAGCCUCCUCCGC